RNAcentral lists this ribosomal RNA (333 nucleotides) under uncultured Bacillota bacterium. Its description in RNAcentral is "bacterial SSU rRNA". It matches the Rfam family "Bacterial small subunit ribosomal RNA", at positions 28 to 351 of the family's 1533-position model. Lineage: Bacteria; Bacillati; Bacillota. The record is from RNAcentral.
GACGAACGCUGGCGGCGUGCCUAAUACAUGCAAGUCGAGCGGACUUGUGGGAGCUUGCUCCCGCAGGUUAGCGGCGGACGGGUGAGUAACACGUGGGCAACCUGCCUGUAAGACUGGGAUAACUUCGGGAAACCGGAGCUAAUACCGGAUAACUCCUUUCCUCACCUGGGGAGAGGUUGAAAGAUGGCUUCGGCUAUCACUUACAGAUGGGCCCGCGGCGCAUUAGCUAGUUGGUGAGGUAACGGCUCACCAAGGCGACGAUGCGUAGCCGACCUGAGAGGGUGAUCGGCCACACUGGGACUGAGACACGGCCCAGACUCCUACGGGUGGCUG